GACGAACGCUGGCGGCGUGCUUAACACAUGCAAGUCGGAGCGGGUAAGGCCCCUUCGGGGGUACACGAGCGGCGAACGGGUGAGUAACACGUGGGUGACCUGCCCGUCAGCUCUGGGAUAAGCCUGGGAAACUGGGUCUAAUACCGGAUAUGACUCCAUGACGCAUGUCGUGGGGUGGAAAGCCUUGUGCGGCUGGGGAUGGGGCCCGCGGCCUAUCCAGCUUGUUGGUGGGGUGAUGGCCUACCAAGGCGACGACGGGUAGCCGGCCUGAGAGGGCGACCGGCCACACUGGGACUGAGACACGGGCCCAGACUCCUACGGGAGGCAGCAGGUGGGGAAUCUUGCGCAAUGGGCGAAGGCCUGACGCAGCGACGCCGCGUGAGGGAUGACGG
Molecule: ribosomal RNA, 392 nt
Filed under: uncultured bacterium
Lineage: Bacteria
Description: bacterial SSU rRNA
Rfam family: Bacterial small subunit ribosomal RNA
Source: RNAcentral